ACGCUCGACACCUACGGAAGGCAGCGGUAGGGAAUCUUCCACAAUGGACGCAAGUCUGAUGGAGCAACGCCGCGUGAGUGAAGAAGGUUUUCGGAUCGUAAAGCUCUGUUGUUGGUGAAGAAGGAUAGAGGUAGUAACUGGCCUUUAUUUGACGGUAAUCAACCAGAAAGUCACGGCUAACUACGUGCCGGCAGCCGCGGUAAUCUGAGCGGGCUGGCAAGGC
RNAcentral lists this ribosomal RNA (223 nucleotides) under uncultured bacterium. Its description in RNAcentral is "partial 16S ribosomal RNA". It matches the Rfam family "Bacterial small subunit ribosomal RNA", at positions 326 to 539 of the family's 1533-position model. The record is from RNAcentral.